This 500-nucleotide ribosomal RNA is filed under the name uncultured bacterium. RNAcentral describes it as "partial 16S ribosomal RNA". It matches the Rfam family "Bacterial small subunit ribosomal RNA", at positions 30 to 523 of the family's 1533-position model. The record is from RNAcentral.
AUUGAACGCUGGCGGAAUGCUUUACACAUGCAAGUCGAACGGCAGCACGGACUUCGGUCUGGUGGCGAGUGGCGAACGGGUGAGUAAUACAUCGGACGGUGCCCAGUCGUGGGGGAUAACGUAGCGAAAGCUACGCUAAUAGCGCAUACGAUCUAAAGUCGAAAGCAGGGGAUCGCAAUACCUUGCACCAUUGGAGCGGCCGAUGGCAGAUUAGGUAGUUGGUAGGGUAAAGGCCUACCAAGCCGACGAUCUGUAGCUGGUCUGAGAGGAUGAUCAGCCACACUGGGACUGAGACACGGCCCAGACUCCUACGGGAGGCAGCAGUGGGGAAUUUUGGACAAUGGGCGCAAGCCUGAUCCAGCCAUUCCGCGUGCAGGAUGAAGGCCUUCGGGUUGUAAACUGCUUUUGUACAGAACGAAAAGGCUCUGGUUAAUACCCGGGGCUCAUGACGGUACUGUAAGAAUAAGCACCGGCUAACUACGUGCCAGCCGCCGCAGUAA